AGUGAACGCUGGCGGUAGGCCUAACACAUGCAAGUCGAACGACAGCACAGUAAGAGCUUGCUCUUACGGGUGGCGAGUGGCGGACGGGUGAGGAAUACAUCGGAAUCUACUUUUUCGUGGGGGAUAACGUAGGGAAACUUACGCUAAUACCGCAUACGACCUACGGGUGAAAGCAGGGGAUCUUCGGACCUUGCGCGAUUGAAUGAGCCGAUGUCGGAUUAGCUAGUUGGCGGGGUAAAGGCCCACCAAGGCGACGAUCCGUAGCUGGUCUGAGAGGAUGAUCAGCCACACUGGAACUGUGACACGGUCCAGACUCCUACGGGAGGCAGCAGUGGGGAAUAUUGGACAAUGGGCGCAAGCCUGAUCCAGCCAUACCGCGUGGGUGAAGAAGGCCUUCGGGUUGUAAAGCCCUUUUGUUGGGAAAGAAAAGCAGCAGGUUAAUACCCCGCUGUUCUGACGGUACCCAAAGAAUAAGCACCGGCUAACCUCGUG
Molecule: ribosomal RNA, 492 nt
Filed under: uncultured bacterium
Lineage: Bacteria
Description: partial 16S ribosomal RNA
Rfam family: Bacterial small subunit ribosomal RNA
Source: RNAcentral